CCACUAAGCUACAGGUCUCCAAAAUAUGUUGCCAAAUAUACACAACAAUGAAACAGAUACAACACGAUUCAACAACAGACUGUGAUAACUGACAGCAAAUAAUAAUGAUGGUGAAAAUAAUGAUAAAGACCAAUCUUGACGUGGAGGUCGUCCCCCUUAAGUUAGACACUGCAAUAUUAAAACUUUGGCUGAGAGCCGGCGACCACGAGCUGAGAGUAUCACUUGAAGCCACAGAGAACAACCCAUCUCCUCUGAACUAAUCUGAAGACUCUUUUAUUGAUGCGGGCAAUGCAACAAAUCAAGCUGAAUUUGCCAGCUCCCUCCCGAAGCAAUCUUUCCAACUAAACAGAUCUCAACUCAAAAAUUACAGACCUUUGUGAAGUUACAAAGGAGGAAGUACAAGACAAAAUUAGUAAAAUUAUAUAAGUUGUUACUGACUUAUAUCCCCGGCUUGACUCACGUGCCGUCUUGACUUCGCUGGACUUCCCAACUCUUCCCAACUCCACAAGCUGCAGAUUAUUCAAAACUCUGCAGCUCGUGUCCUCUCCCACACCAAGCUCUGUGAACCAAUCACCCCUGUCCUUGCCCAGAUUCACCGGCUCCCCAUUCCUCAGAGAAUCAAGUACAAAAUCCUUGUUCUAACCUUCAAAGCUUUCCAUGGUCUUGCUCCCACCUACCUCUCUGACCUCCUAACCCUAUAUCAGCCUGUCCAAUCCCUCUACCCGGCGGACACCGGCCUGCUUCAGGUCCCUCCACUUCCUGCUCCACUAUUGGUGGUCGGGGAUUCAGCAUCUCUAUCCCCACAUUCUGGAGCAAUAUCCCGCAAUCCCUCCGUCUCACCGCCUCUUACCUCCUUCAAGUCAC
Callorhinchus milii (elephant shark) is the source of this 864-nucleotide long non-coding RNA. RefSeq lists it as uncharacterized. The record is from RefSeq and is a predicted model, not a curated record. Lineage: Eukaryota; Metazoa; Chordata; Chondrichthyes; Chimaeriformes; Callorhinchidae. The transcript is spliced from 3 exons.